CAUUCAGCGUUUGGGUCAAGAUGAAGGCGGGUUCUGGACAGACGUACCCAGUCAGGGAAUGUUUACUUUGCCUCCACUUCUGUUCCUCCCCGCCCUGGUGCUGCUCCGGGUCACAUACUCGUCCUGAGCCGGCUUCAGCCUCUCCGCGCAGAAGUCUCCCGGAGCCGACUUCUGAGAGUCGAGUACUCCUAUGUGAAGACUACCAAGCUCGUGUUCAAGGGAACCAAGGCGAAGAGGCGAGAUGGAAAGAAAGUAUCAAGGAGUGAGCUGAAGCCACUGCCCUUGAGAACCCUCUCGAGGAGUCUGGGCUCAUGAGGAUGCCAGAAUAAGUGGCAGUAAGAAGAAAAAGAACAAAGAUAAGAAAAGAAAAAGAGAAGAAGAUGAAGAAACCCAGCUUGAUAUGUUGGAAUCUGGUGGACAGUAACAAACUUUGGUGAAAUUUCAGGAACCAUAGCCAUUGAAAUGGAUGAGGGAACCUAUAUACAUGCACUCGAUAAUGGUCUUUUUACCCUGGGAGCUCCACACAAAGAAGUUGAUGAGGGCCCUAGUCCUCCAGAGCAGUUUUCGGCUGUCAAAUUAUCUGAUUCCAGAAUCACCCUGAAAUCUGGCUAUGGAAAAUAUCUUGGUAUAAAUUCAGAUGAACUUGUUGUUGGGCGUUCAGAUGCAAUUGGACCAAGAGAACAAUGGGAACCAGUCUUUAAAAUUGGGAAAAUGGCUUUGUCGACCUCAAAUAGCUGCUUUAUUAGAUACAGUGAAGCAGAGGACAUAGAAGCAAAAAGUAAAACAGCAGGAGAAGAAGAAAUGAUCAAGGCUCUCCUAAUCUCUGUCAGACCUUCACCUUUAUGACCUUGCCUUAUCUACCAGAACACAGAUCCCUCUUACUAAAGAUUAGAUCCUGUGCUGAAAGAGAAACCAAGAAAAAAGAUGACAUUCCAGAAGAAGACAAAGGAAAUAUAAAACAAUGUGAAAUCAAUUACGUGUGUGUAUGCUUUUCCUUUUAGACCUACAGAUUUGACAGUGAAGUGCUUCUCAAAGUGCUUUCAAAAUAAAUUACCUAAUUAGCUGGGGAUGGUGGUGCAUGCCUGUAGGCCCAGCUACUUGGGAGGCUGAGACAGGAGGAUUGUUUGAGCCCAGGAGUUCAAGGCUGCAGUGAGCUCUGAUCACCACUGCAUUCCAGCCUGGGUGACAGAGCAAGAUCCCGUCUGAAAAAAUAAAAACUGAUGGACAAGAAGAAGCAACACGAUGUAGCCUCUAGGACAGAGCACUGAGCUAAAUUCUUUUCUUUUCUUGAGGGUUCAGUUUUCCUAAUCAUCCUACCAGCUCCCAAAGGUACUCAGUCGGGUUAGUCAACCUCUCUAUUCAUUCAUAGAAUGGGCGUGAUGCCAGUCAAAGGCUGUUCUCUGGCUAGGACACAGGGGACUCCAGCCAGCAUGCCCUAAUAGAAGUGGGGCUUUGUGCUACCCAGUCAAUGAGUGGCCCUCCUCUUGAGAGGUCACAAAGUUCAUCUUGUUGUUCAAAAGCUCCAGCUUAUUAAAAAAAAUGUACAAUUAGACUUUUUUUUUUUCUCCCCCAAGACGGAGUCUCGCUCUGUCCCCCAGAUUGUAGUGCUGUGCCAUGAUCUCAGCUCAUCGCAACCUCCGCCUCCCAGGUUCAUGUGAUUCUCCUGCCUCAGCCUCCCGAGUAGCUGGGACUACAGGCACAAGCCACUGCCCUCGGCCAAUUUUUGUAUUUUUAGUAGAGACGGGGUUUCACCAUGUUGGCCAGGCUGUUCUCGAACUCCUGACCUCAAGUGAUCUGCCUGCCUUGGCCUCCCAAAGUGCUGGGAUUGCAGGCGUGAGCCACUGCGCCUGCCCUACAAUUAGACUUUUUUAAUAAGUGAAAAAGAAAUUAACAGUAUUUAUAAAUUUAAUAGUAAAUAUGUAUAAUCAGAGUUUGAGGUAUUUUUCAAUGAAGACAUUUUCUUUGCAGAAAGAAAUUUCAGAGCUUCCAAGACCACAAACUUAAAAUAAGUAAAGAAGAGAGUAAAAUUCUUAAAAAGGCUCAGAAAGAUGGAUUUUUGCAUGAAACGCUUCUGGACAGGUAGCUAUUUACUUAUUUUCACUAUUUUUCAGUAGCCAAUAGAAAUGGCAUGUAGAAAAGCUAUAUUCUCUUAAAUUACUGUAGUUUUCACAUUUUUGUCUUUAUUUAUAAUUUAUGAGUGUGGCAAUAUUACCUAGAGAGGACAUCAUGAGUUUGGGAAAAGACUGUCAAGAAAGAAUAUCUAAAAAUUAUAACCGAUUCUAAGUAUAUACUUUAAGAAAUUCAGGUUUGACUGUAUCUACUUCAUAAAUUUAUCAUUAUCUUUUUAUAACUAUUAGAACCAGAGUUAGAAAGAAGCAGUUUGACUAAUACAAAAAUUAUGUGGAUUCUGUUAGAGUAGUUCAGGUUCCUUAAAAUAAGCAUAUAUCAACUAAAAAACUAAGUAUAAAAGCUAAAUAAGUGAAAUUGAAGCAGUUUUAUUGUAAGAUUUGGAAGAGUGCAGGAUGUUUAUCAUAGCACAUUAUUAAUAUUUAUUAUUCUUCCUAUGUAGAUAAGUGAUGGCCUAGAUUUACAACAUAGAAAAACAGGUAGAGACGUUUAGCUGUGAGUGUACAAGCAUAAAUCAGUUAAGUGCCAGAUGUUGAUAAUCACCAGCUGCUCAUUCAAGUCCUAUGUUGCAAAGUUACUCUUACCCUUUUUUUACAUUACUUGAUAAAGGCAAUGUUUAAUUAUGUAUUUCCUGUUAACUAGCUGGUAGAGUUCAUACCUAAAGUCAGUAAAUAAUGUUAAGAAUUUUUUCCAGCUGAGCAAAUGAAUAUGUGUCUAGUUGUAAGAAAUCAAGAAGAGGAUAUAAAAUAUAAUCAGGAUAUGGACUCUAAAACGGAAUAAGCUCUGUGUCCUGUAACUUUUUUCACUUGUAAUAAUACAGCAUUCUCACCCUGUUAAAUGGAAAUUUAGAGCACCCUUAAAUUCCAGAAUAAUUAAAAUUGCUAUUUGGAUUGAAAAGCCCUUAGGCAACAUUUAUUGAAUAUUAGGAAAUAACUUUUAUAAGAUUAGAAUCCAUUUUUUAUGGAAACCCAAUUUAAAAGUAUACAUGUUUUAAUAUAAGUGUUGUGGUAAUACAAUAACCAAAAUUGAACACACAGUUUUAAAGCUUUUUAUAUUUAGUAGCAGUUGAAUAUAUAUGGCAUGUUUUACAUAGAUUAAUUUUACUAUUUUUCUUUAUUUAAAAAAGAGAACCAAAUUGAAAGCCGACAGAUACUGCAGAUGACUGGGAUUUUUGUUUCUGUCUUACCUUUUUGUGUUUUUUUUCUGAAUAAAAUAUUCAGAGGAAAUGCUUUUACAGA
RNAcentral lists this long non-coding RNA (3365 nucleotides) under Homo sapiens (human). The record is from RNAcentral. Lineage: Eukaryota; Metazoa; Chordata; Mammalia; Primates; Hominidae.